This is a long non-coding RNA of Tympanuchus pallidicinctus (lesser prairie-chicken), 8342 nucleotides long. RefSeq lists it as uncharacterized. Lineage: Eukaryota; Metazoa; Chordata; Aves; Galliformes; Phasianidae. The record is from RefSeq and is a predicted model, not a curated record. The transcript has 2 exons.
UAUAUGUACAUGUAUUUGUGAUACAUGUGCAUCUGUGUGUGUAUACAGCAUAUACAUGUAAGUGCUUUUGCUCUGCUAUCCAUAGUAAACACAAUUUGGGCAGACAAGGACCAAGAAAUGUACAAAGCAUAGGGAACAAAGGAACUAAAAUCCAAACCCAGGCUUGACUUCUGCACCUGACCGUGAUCACUGUCCUUGCCUUUCACCUACAGCUGCUUGCAGUGCCCUGGAGUGGGGACUGAAAUUACCCAGAGGCAGCCACACCAAACCCAGGGAGGUGCACAUCCUUCAGGCCCACCAGCACCAUUCCUCCCCUAAGUCAGCCCUCACAGAAGUGCUGCACCAUCUGCCAUGCAGCUGCACUUCUCGGUGAUCAUGUUGGGAAAUUCAGUUGCCUCAAUCUCGGUGUGGUUGCCCCUCUGGACCAGGUACAUGAUAGGGAGUGGGGAGCUCUCAGCCACAGCACAGGCACGUUUCCUGCCUCCCCAGCGCUGCAGUGGGCCGGGAAGCUGCAGGCAGCCCCCCCGGCAGCUGUAAGCCUGGUAUCCUGCUGGCUCGAUGACCCAGUACUGUGUCCAGGAAAGCUCACGGAAGUUGAUGUAGUGCUUCUGCCGGCAGCAGGUGGACUUUCCUGCCUGCACUCCAUCCUUGCAGUCCCCAGGGCCCCUGUGUGCAAUAGGAGAAAUGUUAGCUAAUAGGUAAGGCUGAUGGCACAGCCCAGAGCUAGGAAGCUCAGACCACACUCAGGUUUCAUUUGAAAAUUCAGGCAACAAAGUGAGUGCAGUAAUGUAGGGACAAAGCUGCAUGGAUGCAGGUUUCAUACUCACCCAUAGUCCUCCAAGUCAAGGGUGUAGAGCACCAGCUCAGGUCUUCCCACAGCUCUGUCCCCAGCAUCCUGUGAGGUGAAGCGCACGGCCUUGGCAACCUCUGCAGCGUAGCUGCCCACCAUUUCCCCUUCAAUCCAGACCUGCAGGACCAUUGGCUCCUGCCUCUUGUUCCGCAGCCAGUAAUGCACAGCCUGGGUCACAUCAAAGUUCUUCCAGCCAGACUCUCUUAUGGGAACCAGCCUGCCAGGCAGAGAGAAGCCCAUCAUACAAAGUUCAUGCUGCUUUUUUUGCUGUGGAAUAAUUUGCUUCCUGUGCGUUGUCAUGUGCCUUGAUCAUACGUUAAUGCUUGCUGAGCAGCUCUGGGCAAGUACUCACAGCAAUUAACUAUUUAAAACAAUCGUAGAACCACAGGGAUUGGAAGGGACCUCUGGAGAUCAUCUGCUUCAAUUCCAUGCUAAAGCGGGUUUCCUGCAGCAGUCACACAGGAAAGCAUUCAGACGUGCUUUGGGCAUCUCCAGAGAAGGAGACUCCACAACCUCUCUGUACCCACAAGGCAUGCAAGGCUAACAAGCACUGAAUGGUGAAAUAAAAACCCUUGUGUCAAGGUAUUUGUUCACACAGUGCAAGGUUAUAUGCAGUGCUUGUGUCACCAGCCAGCUGAGCUUCCAGAACUUAAAGGGAGCUUAUAAACAAGAGUAAAAUCAACCUUUUUAUGGUCUGAUGGUGAUAGGACAAGGAGGAAUGGUUUUAAACUAAAGAGGGUGUGAUGAGUAGAAUAAACUACUAAAAACCUUAAACUAAAAGGAGUGAGAUGUGAGUAGAAUAGAUGUCAGGGGAAGGUUUUCACUGAGGGGGUGAUGAUUGCCUGGAGAAGCUGCGUAUACCUCAUCCCUGGAGGUGUUCACAGGCAGGUUGGAUGGGGCCCUGGGCAGCCUGAUUCUGUGCCUGAUUUAGGGUCUUGCUACCCUGCCUGCAACAGGAGAGCUGGAACUAGAUCAUCUUUGAGGUCCCUUCCAACCCAAGCCAUUCAGUGAUUCUGUGAUUCUAUGAAUCUAUGAUUGAUUCUAUGGUUCUAUUAAUAAAGAUGCAGCCUAUCAUCUGGCACAGAAAUGUGUCACUUCAAUGCAUCAUUGCAUAUUUGCACCCUUAACCUACUGUCUGCUCUCAUCAGCUCCACACUCCCCAUCACCUACCUUGAGUCGAUCAGGGAGGUCCUGUUUGUGCCAUCAUGCUGUCUCUGCACCCAGUAGAUGCUGACCCUGGCAUUGGAGACAGGCCGAUGGGGCUGCCUGGCUGGCAGGUUCACCCUGUCCAGGGGCUUCUUGAAAAGCUUCAGUUCAGCCAUUGUCACUUCACUGUUUUUUGGUAUCCUUCCCUCCAUGUCAAAGAUGAAGUUCUGGCGCAUGGGGUCAGAGUAGAAGACUUCUGUCCGUGAUGUAGUGACAAAAAGACAUGCUGUCAUUGCUAUCCUCUGCAUUUCAUCCACAGUUAUCACAGCACAUUGCUUGCAUGCUCCAACAUGAUCCCUUGUGGCAGAGACAGCCCUUAAACACACUUUUUCUAACACAUACUUAGUAUCUUGUGAAUAAACUAAUUCCUCUAGAUCUGAAACAGCAAUGUGGGGACAAUAGGAGGAAAUCUCCUAUAUGUAAUUAUUCCUAAAUAGAGCAAGCACCAAAAAGCAUGUGCCCCUUUGUGCCAGUGCAGUGCACAGUAUCAGAAAACCACACAAAUUGCAACCAUUUGCAGGUAGUUUGCCUUCUCUGCCCAGGAUGCUAUGUGGUUUUUCUAUCACCCACCCUUUUCCAGGAUCAUGGGGUACAUACACUUUUUCCACCCUGCUCCCCCUCAGAGCCUGACCCCAGCCCCACUCCCUGUGGCUUGCCCUGCCCUGGUGUUACCUGCAUUGCCGGGGAUCCCCUGCAGGAUGCUGGCCAAGCUGGGAGAGGCACGACGCUUCCCCCUGUGCCGCUUCAGCAUGGAGAUGUACUUGUUCUUCACGUGCUCGGGAAUGACCAGGUCCAUCAGGUCCCUCUUAUGAAGCUUAGGGACUUCAGAGAGCCCCAGCUGCUUCAGCAUCACUUCCUUGAACCCUUCCUGGGUGAAGGCAUAGGCCAUGACAACCAGAGAGAGCACAUAGAGCAUCCGGGUGAAGCUUGCCUCCAUCCUGCCUUUUUGGUGGCUCGCAGGGAGGAACGGGGAUGUCAGCGGGGCUGCGAUGCACUCGUUGGCUGUGGAGUGGGACAGAGGUUUUAUAGCCAGCCUCAUCCCACUGGCACAACAAAUUCCACAAGUGGGGAAGAAGCAGGGGACUUAAAAGGCUCACCCCCGCCUCGAUAGACACAUGCCAGUUUAACACCUCCGCACACCACCAGGCUGACAUGGGGGGCUUAGGGGAGCUUCCAGAUUCCUGCACCAGGAAGACAUUUCCCUGCUCUUUUAACUCCCUGUAAACUUCUGCCUAAAAAUCCCCCGAGUGAGCAGCAUCACACAUCGAUGGAGUUGCUGCCUGAAGUGGCCAGUAUCUGUCAGGAGAAUAAAGCUCCAGCAGAACAUCUGCCCUUAUGGUGGGCAUUACAAAAUAGCUUAAAAUAUCGGGGGGGAGGGCAGAUCCCACUAUGAUCUCUGAAUAGAUGAUCAUAGCAUUGAAUGAGGUGGUUGGAUGGGUUAUGGCCUUUUACAUUGCCUAUAGAUCACAGGGAGGUAAGCAGAAGCAGCACAGUCCUGGUAUUUCAGAUGUGGGCUGAAUAAUGCCUGUGCUUAAGAGCAGAUGGCUUUAUUUUCAGGCAGAUGAUCUCUCAGUGAACACAAGAAACCACUCUGCUUCUCCACAACCCCAACAAUAAUUGUUGGUGUUCUGAACAGUAUCAAAAACCAAAAGAAAGCUUGCUCUGGAGAGUAAAGGUGAAGGGAGCCUGGGUGCAGGAGGCUGCUGUUUGCCUUGAGGUAAUCUUAAAACCUGGAGCUCACAUCCUUGACUUCCUUGGCCUUUGCUAGCAUGUUUUUAAAACUGAGAAAAGGAGAAGAUAAUUGAAAAAAUAAAACUUGAACAGUGCCAUUCUUGAGGAACUCAGCAUUUGAGACAGAUUCUCAUCCUUCUCCAGCAGGAACAAGCAUGGGACGUCUGGAUCAUAAGUACAAAAUACUGUCAUUAUCAACACAGAUCUUUGGACUUCUUCUGUCUCUGUAAAUGAGGAAGAAGCAGUUCAUUUUCACCCAGCGUAUGGGCUGAGUGCUGUGUCCUCAGGAAAGCGCGGCUGCAGGACCCAAAGUACUGAGCUCUUACAAAAGCCCCGGGUGCAGUUCAUCUCCCACUGGAGGCAGUAUGAGCUGAGGCAGAUUUCCUGGGCAAGGAAGAGGGCAAAGCUUCCGAGAGCCUGACCGAGCAUCUCUGGUACUGCCUGUUCUGCCUGUUGAGCCUUUUGUAGAAAAUGUCCUGUAAACCUUUAUCUUUACUCAAUUUUUUCUUUACUCAAACGAUUGGUCCUGCUGUAUAGUGAGGGCUGCUCAAAUAAAUCUGCGUGUAAGAGAUGAUAACGCCUGAGAACACCACAGCACCCGGCACUUCUGGGUACAAGAUGUGACGUCUCCUGCGGCUGAUAUCUGAACUACCAGGAUGAAAUCUCUUCCUUGUCUUAUGUGUAUUGGAUGGUGAUUUAUGGACUUCACACAUAAAAAAAAUGAUUGAGCAAAUGCGGUGGAAGUUCAGCUAAGAAGAAAACAGAGGAUGUGGAUUGUAGGCUUUUCACAGGAGGGUGAUUAUCUGGUCCGAUUGGUGGAGUUGGCAUUCUCCCUUUGUCACACAAACAAGAAAAGGUCAGGAAUUUUAUAGUAGCUCUUUUUGGGUAAUGUGUAUUAGAGCCUCCAUGGUGCAUUCAGGGUGUCAAGCAGAGGAUUUAUGGGGGGCUGCAGGGCAUGAUGUCUGAGGAACUUACAGUUUUAAUGGAAGCCUGAAUGCAGUGAACAGAGAACCUCCAUAUUUAAGCUUUUAGGUAGUUUCAAACAGAUCUCUAAGAUACUUACUGGGCAUAUCUAUGCAAUGAUUUUUGGUAAAUAAAUCUAACGAGUUAAAAGAGAAAGUGCGAAAGGUUUAGCCUAAUGACGUGGCUAUUGCCCUGUGAAACAGGAAUGGUUCAAACACAUUUGCAGUGCAUCAGUGAGGAUCUGAUUUUCCAAGAACUGAAUUCUCAUGAACGUAAUUCUGCUAUAUUACAGUUGGGCCCAUACCAGAAUGGCCUUUGCUUGAAUGAUGUGAAAGGCCACAGUUUUUGUUCUCAGUUGUUCAGCAGACUUUCUGUAUAGAGACUGGAACAUAUCUCUGUCCUGACUUUGGUCUGCUUUGUUUGUUUUUUUUAAAACAAAAUCAGUGUCCUUUGGGUCUAGAAGUGUGGUUACAAAGUAAUGUUGAGAUACAGGUACGAACUUGCCAUGUUAAAGAAGAAUCCGAGCAAAGGUUCCAUUUCUGAGUCUUUUUCAGUCUCAAGUCCCCUCGUGCAUGCGUGGCUGUAGGACAGCAAUGCAUUCCCUGCCAGGGAGGCAGUUCUGGGAUUUGCUGUUGCCUUUAUGCAAGUGGAGAACGGCAGCAAAAGCCUCGCUCUCCUCCUUGAGGUGUCUGGGCAGCACUGGGUGGAAAUGGUUUGGUUCUGGUGGAAUGAUUGCACAGGGUCUGCUCAAUGACACUAGCAGGAUCUGCAGCUUCUUUUUUGAGGGUUUGCUUUCAGCCAGGUCAGCAAGUUGCUGUCAUGUUACAUCUUUUGGGUCAUGGUACAGCUCUUCCCUACAUUGGUAAAUAGCAGUUCCAGUUCUCAAAAAUGACAAUGCAAGAAAAUCUCGUGGUAAGCUCCUUUCUUCCUCAGAGGUGAGACCUUCUUCCCAAAAAACUGGAGGUGUACUACCACAAAAGCAAUGAACAGACCACAGGGCUGUUAUCUCAUUUCUUGGCCACUUUAGCUCCGGACACUGCCAGCCACCAGCCUUGUCUAGAAGUGCUCUGAUUUGCACAAUACUUGUUUUUUGAAGAUGCCUGAUGACUGCUGAAAGAUACUGGGAAGCUAUCUCCCCAGGUUGGUGGCUUUCAUUAUUCCUCUACCACUAAGGACUGCUGUUUUUCCAUUAGGGCAAGAACAGCUUGCUUAAAGAGCCAGAAUAACAGCACCCAGGCCCAUUUAGCUCAUUGGAAUUUGCAUAAACGCACCUCACAAUUCAUCCUGUUGUGCAAAAUCUGGAAUGGAAAAGUUUUAAAAGACAGUUCAGCCUGGGUAAAUGCAGUGUCCUGGUACCUGGGAACAAGCAACUCCAGGUACCAGGGCAUGUUGGGACCUCACAGCUGUAAUGCAGCUCUGCAGAAAAGGGCCCAGGAUUUCAAAUUGUUCUGGGCAGCAAGGCUAAAUUGGCCAUCUCCAAUGAAAAUGCCUUACAGGUCAUGUCCUGUUGGGCUCCCUCAUGCAAAUGCUGCUGGUGAAGCCCCAGGCAGCAAUGGCAAUGGCAUUUCCUUAUGCCAGGAGUGCAUUUACAACACAAAGUAUCCAAUAUAGUAAAAACUCCAUUUAAUCUGGGAGAGAGGUUGCGAACCUGCUCUGAUCUUAAGCUCAGGUACAUAAUUCCCAUUACUAUGAUGCUAUCCAACUCAGAUCCCACUGACUUGCAACACAUCUUCCUUAAGUAGGCGCCUGUAUUUACCCAUGGGCUUGUCCUGGUCAAACAGCCCUGACAAAGACAUCUGUUUGAAGAGGGAUGAAUAAAAUGUCCAAAGUCCCACCAUGUUCUUGGACAACUGAUGUCAGCUGGCUUGCUCACAGUGAAAAAGAGAAUAUCAGUCACUUUUUCCCCACUCAGAGAAAGAAUGCUUUAUUCCAGGGGCUGUACUUCAUUACCAGGAGAAGGUGUAAAGGCAGAAAGAUUAUGAACUACAUGUCAAAUAAAGCUGAAUAAUUCGUGCUGCUAACUUUGCUGGAAGAUGCUUUUCCUCUGCAGGCCAAACAUGGAGAUGAAAGGCCAAGAGGUGGGAUAUCUAAAUCUAACCUCUUCUGUUACGCAUGGUAAGCUGACAUGCAAAAUAGUAAUGUGUUGGUUUAGUGCAAAAAAAAGAAGGAGAAGAAGAAAAAGAAGAAAAAGAUAAGGAAGAAGAAAAAGAAAAAGAUAAGGAAGAAGAAAAAGAAAAAGAAAAAGAAAAAGAAAAAGAAAAAGAAAAAGAAAAAGAAAAAGAAAAAGAAAAAGAAAAAGAAAAAGAAAAAGAAAAAGAAAAAGAAAAAGAAAAAGAAAAAGAAAAAGAAAAGAAAAAGAAAAAGGAUGUUUCUUGCAUAGGAAAUCACACAGACACAAAACCCAAUGUGAGAUGAAAGACAAAAUUAGACCAUAGUUUGGACAGAGAGGACAAGAUAGAACAGAUAAAUACUUUAGACUUCACUUAUUUGAUACAUCUGAUAAAGUGGAGUAAUUGCCCAGAGAUUUCCACUAGACUUCACUGAAAUAUUUAACACUAGCAUGAACGGAGCCUUAGCAAAUAUGUUAGCAGAAGUUGUUUUCCAUCUGUAAUAUCUGCUGCUGUGGUGAUGCUGGGGCUAUUGCAUGUCAGCAGGUUUUACAGUAGAUGGAUUCUGUUUCAAAAUAAUCACUUGCACGUGGCCUUUUUCCUCGAUGCUAACAGCACUUUAGCUCUGUGAUGGAAAGGCUGAUGAAGUGGAAUUUAGAAUGUGUCCAGCAGUACCUCUGGAGCUGCUGUCUGGCCCUGGGUGAGCUGCUGGGCGUUUUGGGAGAGCCAAAAAAAACAAUUUGAAAAUAAUGGUAGAGAUCAGGUCAUAGCCCCUCAUCUUGAUGCUUAACUUUCACUCUGUUCUAACAGAAAGAGCCAGGCUUAGUUGGCCGCAAACUUUGCAUUGUACAGCACUGUUUCUUUCUCCUCAGAAAGUUCUUCCAUCUCUUCUGAGAGCAACCAUAAAGGCCUACCAAGUAUUCCCAGUGCAUUUUAAAAUAAUUUAUUUCUGUUAAAAGACUUCAAGCAGUUCAUAGUAAAUCAUUUUUAAAACCUAUCGAGCUCUUUACUCUUUAUGCUGAUUUCUUAUUUACACUGUUCAUUCCAUUCCCUUUCUGUCCAGAUUGUGGUCAGCUUUGAGAGUCCCAUAACAAGCAAUACUACUAUAAGCCCCUGAUUUUCUUUUGCCUUCAAACAGUGCUGCAAUGCUAAGAAAGGGGUGUGUGGGUCAGGUGUCUUUUUCAAGCAGUUACUACAAGGCUGUUUUCCACUUAAAUAUUUAUAUUAUCGUUAUAGUGUUUUUUAAACCAUUUUUGUAUGUUGUUUCUUUUUAAUGAAAAAGAUUUCAGUAGGAAAGGAUGAGAGAAAAUGCAGUUCUUUGUGUAUUUGACUCCAAAGCAGAGCACAAAGGAGUAUUUUUCUUGAUGGCAGAGGCUAAAUUAUGUAAUUUCCUGCCAUGUAGCCAUAUCUGUGCAAACAAAGGCUAUAAAGUCUUGGAUUUAACAUGGCUCUUGCAAAGAGCAAAAUAAAGUGGUGUGAUCUAA